UACGUAGGGGGCAAGCGUUGUCCGGAAUCAUUGGGCGUAAAGAGCGUGUAGGCGGCCCGGUAAGUCCGCUGUGAAAGUCCAGGGCUCAACCCUGGAAUGCCGGUGGAUACUGUCGGGCUCGAAUCCGGAAGAGGUGAGUGGAAUUCCUGGUGUAGCGGUGAAAUGCGCAGAUAUCAGGAGGAACACCAAUGGCGAAGGCAGCUCACUGGGACGGUAUUGACGCUGAGACGCGAAAGCGUGGGGAGCAAACAGG
Molecule: ribosomal RNA, 253 nt
Filed under: uncultured bacterium
Lineage: Bacteria
Description: partial 16S ribosomal RNA
Rfam family: Bacterial small subunit ribosomal RNA
Source: RNAcentral